GUGCCAGCAGCCGCGGUAAGACGAACCGAGCGAACGUUGUUCGGAAUAACUGGGCUUAAAGGGCGCGUAGGCGGGCCGCCAAGUUCGAGGUGAAAUCCUCCGGCUCAACCGGAGAACUGCCUCGAAUACUGGAGGCCUCGAGGCGGGUAGGGGCACGCGGAACUGUGGGUGGAGCGGUGAAAUGCGUUGAUAUCCACAGGAACUCCGGUGGCGAAGGCGGCGUGCUGGACCCGAUCUGACGCUGAGGCGCGAAAGCCAGGGGAGCAAACGGGAUUAGAUACCCCCGUAGUCC
This 292-nucleotide ribosomal RNA is filed under the name uncultured bacterium. RNAcentral describes it as "partial 16S ribosomal RNA". It matches the Rfam family "Bacterial small subunit ribosomal RNA", at positions 505 to 796 of the family's 1533-position model. The record is from RNAcentral.